Molecule: ribosomal RNA, 480 nt
Filed under: Flavobacterium macrobrachii
Lineage: Bacteria; Pseudomonadati; Bacteroidota; Flavobacteriia; Flavobacteriales; Flavobacteriaceae
Description: partial 23S ribosomal RNA
Rfam family: Bacterial large subunit ribosomal RNA
Source: RNAcentral
CAAUAAGCAAAAUAAGGGCGUAUGGGGGAUGCCUAGGCUCUCAGAGGCGAAGAAGGACGUGAUAAGCUGCGAUAAGCUUCGGGGACUGGCACAUACAGAUUAAUCCGAAGAUUUCCGAAUGGGGCAACCCACUAUGUUGAAGACAUAGUACAUCGAUAGAUGGGCAAACCCGCUGAACUGAAACAUCUAAGUAGGCGGAGGAGAAGAAAACAAAAGUGAUUCCGUAAGUAGUGGCGAGCGAACGCGGAUUAGCCCAAACCAGUGUUGUUAAGGCAAUACUGGGGUUGUAGGACCACGACAUUUCUUGCGGAUUGAAUUAGAAUUACCUGGAAAGGUAAGCCAUAGACGGUGAUAGCCCGGUAUAAGUAAGAGAAGAUAAGGAUAGUGGUAUCCUGAGUAGGGCGGGGCACGUGAAACCCUGUCUGAAUUUGGCGGGACCAUCCGCUAAGGCUAAAUACUCCUGAGAGACCGAUAGUGAAC